This 1186-nucleotide long non-coding RNA is filed under the name Sus scrofa (pig). RNAcentral describes it as "lncRNA (ENSSSCG00030046487.1)". The record is from RNAcentral. Lineage: Eukaryota; Metazoa; Chordata; Mammalia; Artiodactyla; Suidae.
CUUUCAAUGUUUACACUUUGUGGGUGUGGGCAGAGGCAGAAGGAGCAGAACAGGAAGCAAGAGAACUCCCUGCAAGUGGGGUCAGAAGGGGCUGGAUCCCCACCAAGCCCUGGCCAGCCUUGGUCGCCGAGGUCAAGGUUGGCCUCUGCAGUGGAUUUCAGGCACUGUUCUAGGAGCCAAGUGUGAACUGAGAGGCAGCCAAGAAUGAAGACAGAGCUGGAGCAAAACCAGAAAUGGAACCAGAGCGACAGUCCUGCCGCAAUGAGUUUUCUGUUCCAGAAGAAAGAGUCUCUGAGUUGGUGACAGGGAUCCACCCAAAGGCAGCUAGCUGAACCUUGCUCCCAGAACCUCUGCAGAGCCCAGAUUCUUUCUGGGAGAGAGGAGGAGACACAAACCGUCUUCUCCCAGAAAUUCUGCCCCUGACCCAAGUGCUAGCAAUAUACGCCCAGGCCACGCAGUGGGGUUGAGAAUUUCAGCAAAAUAGAAUUCUAAAAUAUUAGAAUCUUGGAAUCAUCACCUCUUGGAAUCAUUGAAUUUCAUCCACUCCUCCAGGGCAUGGAUCAUUUCUUACUCAGAUUUGCUCCCUUGGCACCUAGCACAGAGUCUGGAAGAAUGGAGCUAAUGAAUUUUUUGGUAACCCUAAAAUAUCCAGGAGCCUCCCAGCCAAAUCUCUGCAGAGUCAUGUUCAAAUAAGAGAGGUCCAGCUUCUAAGGGAAAAUUUUUAAAUAAUUUCUCUUUUUAUCUGUAUUUCUCAAGGAACUGAAAGGAGGCCUGUUAAUAACCCCCAAGUAUUGUUGCCUCUUUGCCCCAGUUUUCUCACACUUGGCGACAGCCUCUGCAAACUACAUCUCCCAGGUUCCUGCACUUGAAGCCUCACAGGUAUUUUUCUCUUCUUCCUUCCUUACACUCAUCCCUAGCCUUUUACACCAUAUUUCAUCUUGGCCUCUCCAGCUAAGUCCUUCUCCCUUUCUCUGGCCAUCUCUCUCUACAUUUUCUCAAGAGUAUAUAUGACAAAAUAUCUGAGGACUGGGAUGGAAACCUCAGAACCAGUCUUGGAUGAGGAAGGGGAAGGUGUUAAGUGCCAAGAAGGAAAAUCAGGGUAGUCAAGGGCAACAUGCCCCAGGAAACACUCGCCUCCACCAGAGUUCAAUGGGCCAUCCUGGGUGGGUUGACAAACAGGUGGCUG